This 64-nucleotide transfer RNA is filed under the name bovine gut metagenome. It matches the Rfam family "tRNA", at positions 6 to 65 of the family's 71-position model. Rfam says of the family: Transfer RNA (tRNA) molecules are approximately 80 nucleotides in length. Their secondary structure includes four short double-helical elements and three loops (D, anti-codon, and T loops). The record is from RNAcentral.
GUGUAGCUCAGUUGGAUAGAGCGUCUGGCUACGGACCAGAAGGCCGGGGGUUCGAAUCCUCUCA